UAAUACGUAGGGUGCAAGCGUUAAUCGGAAUUACUGGGCGUAAAGCGUGCGCAGGCGGUUUUAUAAGUCUGAUGUGAAAUCCCCGGGCUCAACCUGGGAACUGCAUUGGAGACUGUAAGGCUAGAGUGUGUCAGAGGGGGGUAGAAUUCCACGUGUAGCAGUGAAAUGCGUAGAUAUGUGGAGGAAUACCGAUGGCGAAGGCAGCCCCCUGGGAUAACGCUGACGCUCAUGCACGAAAGCGUGGGGAGCAAACAGGAUUAGAUACCCUGGUAGUCCACGCCCUAAACGAUGUCUACUAGUUGUCGGGACUUAAUUGUCUUGGUAACGCAGCUAACGCGUGAAGUAGACCGCCUGGGGAGUACGGUCGCAAGAUUAAAACUCAAAGGAAUUGACGGGGACCCGCACAAGCGGUGGAUGAUGUGGAUUAAUUCGAUGCAACGCGAAAAACCUUACCUACCCUUGACAUGGCAGGAAUUCCGAAGAGAUUUGGAAGUGCUCGCAAGAGAACCU
Molecule: ribosomal RNA, 510 nt
Filed under: uncultured Undibacterium sp.
Lineage: Bacteria; Pseudomonadati; Pseudomonadota; Betaproteobacteria; Burkholderiales; Oxalobacteraceae
Description: bacterial SSU rRNA
Rfam family: Bacterial small subunit ribosomal RNA
Source: RNAcentral